Molecule: ribosomal RNA, 497 nt
Filed under: uncultured bacterium
Lineage: Bacteria
Description: partial 16S ribosomal RNA
Rfam family: Bacterial small subunit ribosomal RNA
Source: RNAcentral
GAUGAACGCUGGCGGCGUGCCUAAUACAUGCAAGUCGAGCGAACGGACGAGAAGCUUGCUUCUCUGAUGUUAGCGGCGGACGGGUGAGUAACACGUGGAUAACCUACCUAUAAGACUGGGAUAACUUCGGGAAACCGGAGCUAAUACCGGAUAAUAUUUUGAACCGCAUGGUUCAGAAGUGAAAGACGGUCUUGCUGUCACUUAUAGAUGGAUCCGCGCUGCAUUAGCUAGUUGGUAAGGUAACGGCUUACCAAGGCAACGAUGCAUAGCCGACCUGAGAGGGUGAUCGGCCACACUGGAACUGAGACACGGUCCAGACUCCUACGGGAGGCAGCAGUAGGGAAUCUUCCGCAAUGGGCGAAAGCCUGACGGAGCAACGCCGCGUGAGUGAUGAAGGUCUUCGGAUCGUAAAACUCUGUUAUUAGGGAAGAACAUAUGUGUAAGUAACUGUGCACACCUUGACGGUACCUAAUCAGAAAGCCACGGCUAACUACGUG